RNAcentral lists this transfer RNA (54 nucleotides) under Heterololigo bleekeri (Bleeker's squid). RNAcentral describes it as "tRNA-Phe". Lineage: Eukaryota; Metazoa; Mollusca; Cephalopoda; Myopsida; Loliginidae. The record is from RNAcentral.
CUUAAAGAGAGCGUGACGUUGAAGGUGUCAAGGUGAUUAUUAUAUCUUUAAAUA